Molecule: long non-coding RNA, 405 nt
Organism: Bacillus rossius redtenbacheri
Lineage: Eukaryota; Metazoa; Arthropoda; Insecta; Phasmatodea; Bacillidae
Exons: 3
Source: RefSeq, a predicted model, not a curated record
CAGUGUAUUGUAUUUGUAUUUAUCUCUUUUAUUGCUAUUUUAGUUGCGCAACUGAACAGCAUGAAUUACAUCAAUGAUUACCGGUACAUGAUUAUUUUAGUCAUGUUGGUCAUGGUUGUUUCCGAUUGUAAUGUUUUGAAAUGUGGAAUAUUUAGAUAUUUUUCUAUCAGGAUAUAAGAUGGAUAAACGUAUAUAAUUUCUGUUGCCAUUAUACUUUGUAAGGAAACCACACUUGCUACCGUUGGAGGGAGAAAAGCUGAUCAUGUGCGCCAUAUACUAGAGAGACUAUUCACAAAUAGAUUGGCAUUGAAAUACAAUUGGACAGGAAAAAACCAGAAGAUAGCAUUAAAAAAUCUGCAGCUCAUGAAGAUUAUACCUGCUGCUGUUAGAAGAAAUAAAUACACU